GGAUUAAUUGGAAUACAUGUGAGGUAAAUAUUAAGGGGUGGAGAAGGAGGUGGUGGACUAGGUGGAGGCGGACUUGGAGAAGGAGGAGGUGGACUAGGUGGAGGAGGGCUAGGAGGAGGAGGAGGCGGACUACGAGGAGGAGGAGGCGGACUACGAGGAGGUGGAGGCGGGCUACGAGGAGGAGGUGGGGGAGAACGAGGAGGUGGAGGCGGACUACGAGGAGGUGGAGGAGGUCUUCGAGGAGGAGGUGGAGGAGAACGAGGAGGAGGAGGAGGACGAACAGGAGGACGACGACGAAGAAUUAGAGAACGCUCAUUGAACACCUUUUGGACAGCCUCCACAAUAUAUUCUUUUGGAUAAGCCAAGCUAUCACUUGCAAUAAUCCCACUUGUUUCCAAGUAAUUGAACAAGUUGCCUUGUUCAGGCAUGUAGUUGAUCUCUAUUGCUUUGUCAAAGUAUUCUUGUGGUGUUGUUCCUCCACAU
Lycium ferocissimum is the source of this 483-nucleotide long non-coding RNA. RefSeq lists it as uncharacterized. The transcript has 2 exons. NCBI's taxonomy places the organism in Eukaryota, Viridiplantae, Streptophyta, Magnoliopsida, Solanales, Solanaceae. The record is from RefSeq and is a predicted model, not a curated record.